Molecule: ribosomal RNA, 253 nt
Filed under: uncultured bacterium
Lineage: Bacteria
Description: partial 16S ribosomal RNA
Rfam family: Bacterial small subunit ribosomal RNA
Source: RNAcentral
UACGAAGGGGGCUAGCGUUGCUCGGAAUCACUGGGCGUAAAGGGUGCGUAGGCGGGUUUUUAAGUCAGGGGUGAAAUCCUGGAGCUCAACUCCAGAACUGCCUUUGAUACUGAAGAUCUUGAGUUCGGGAGAGGUGAGUGGAACUGCGAGUGUAGAGGUGAAAUUCGUAGAUAUUCGGAGGAACACCAGUGGCGAAGGCGGCUCACUGGUCCAUUACUGACGCUGAGGUGCGAAAGCGUGGGGAGCAAACAGG